Long non-coding RNA from Esox lucius (northern pike), 448 nucleotides. The record is from Ensembl. Lineage: Eukaryota; Metazoa; Chordata; Actinopteri; Esociformes; Esocidae.
CAGGUAGCGUAUAAAUUUGCAUGAACAACGGCGAAUCGUUGACAGGUCAGGAUAUGUUAUUUCAGAACAAUGACAUGUAACCAAUGACAAAGUUAAGACUUACUGGAGGUGCCGGCUGCGAUGUAAAGACAAUAAUUAAACCCGCAACAUCCACAGAAGUCAGCUGUUGUUUCAAGCACGGAGUAUAUCGUUUCUGUUGUUGAGUGGAAUUAAACACCAGCCGUGUUUGGUAAACACAUUUUUGGGCCUUCAAAUCUUGGUAAGUAGACUUUUGACAUUAUUGUUAAUCAGCUUUAAUUACCUGUAUACCUUUGUUAAUCCUAUCUGUAUUUAUGUCAGUUGGACUGACAUAGAUGCUUUCUUGAAGACCUUCGAUGCUCCAGAGUGCCUUGACCCUCGGGAUGCUCUUUUUGGAGGUCGUACUAAUGCGAUUCAUCUUAAGUUUACG